RNAcentral lists this long non-coding RNA (169 nucleotides) under Anas platyrhynchos platyrhynchos (common mallard). RNAcentral's name for it is "lncRNA (ENSAPLG00000026626.1)". Lineage: Eukaryota; Metazoa; Chordata; Aves; Anseriformes; Anatidae. The record is from RNAcentral.
CAGCCUCCAGGGUGUGGAGCUUUUUCUGGCCCUUGGAUAGGAGAAGGGAUGGUCCAGCCUGACAGCAUCCCUGGCUACUAGAAAAUCUGAGGAAUUGUUCCAUCAGGGCUCUGGCACUAGGGAGCCAGAGACAAUAAUACGACAUUAUUGUUGACAGUAAGGCCUGUGU